Molecule: ribosomal RNA, 301 nt
Filed under: uncultured bacterium
Lineage: Bacteria
Description: partial 16S ribosomal RNA
Rfam family: Bacterial small subunit ribosomal RNA
Source: RNAcentral
CAGCAGCCGCGGUAAUACGAGGGGAGCUAGCGUUGUUCGGAAUUACUGGGCGUAAAGCGCGCGUAGGCGGCUUUUUAAGUCAGAGGUGAAAGCCCGGGGCUCAACCCCGGAAUUGCCUUUGAAACUGGAAAGCUAGAAUCUUGGAGAGGUCAGUGGAAUUCCGAGUGUAGAGGUGAAAUUCGUAGAUAUUCGGAAGAACACCAGUGGCGAAGGCGACUGACUGGACAAGUAUUGACGCUGAGGUGCGAAAGCGUGGGGAGCAAACAGGAUUAGAUACCCCUGUAGUCCCUGUCUCUUAUAU